UAGCUCAAUUGGUAGAGCAUGGUGUUUGCAACACCAGGGUUGUGGGUUCAAUUCCCAC
This 58-nucleotide transfer RNA is filed under the name Salmo salar (Atlantic salmon). It matches the Rfam family "tRNA", at positions 8 to 63 of the family's 71-position model. Rfam says of the family: Transfer RNA (tRNA) molecules are approximately 80 nucleotides in length. Their secondary structure includes four short double-helical elements and three loops (D, anti-codon, and T loops). Further hydrogen bonds mediate the characteristic L-shaped molecular structure. tRNAs have two regions of fundamental functional importance: the anti-codon, which is responsible for specific mRNA codon recognition, and the 3' end, to which the tRNAs corresponding amino acid is attached (by aminoacyl-tRNA synthetases). tRNAs cope with the degeneracy of the genetic code in two manners: having more than one tRNA (with a specific anti-codon) for a particular amino acid; and 'wobble' base-pairing, i.e. permitting non-standard base-pairing at the 3rd anti-codon position. Lineage: Eukaryota; Metazoa; Chordata; Actinopteri; Salmoniformes; Salmonidae. The record is from Rfam by way of RNAcentral.